GCUGUGGUCGUCUAGUGGUUUAGGAUGCGGGCCUGUGGAGCCCGCGACCCGGGUUCGAAUCCCGGCCACGGCC
RNAcentral lists this transfer RNA (73 nucleotides) under Candidatus Iainarchaeum sp. Its description in RNAcentral is "tRNA-His". It matches the Rfam family "tRNA". Rfam says of the family: Transfer RNA (tRNA) molecules are approximately 80 nucleotides in length. Their secondary structure includes four short double-helical elements and three loops (D, anti-codon, and T loops). Lineage: Archaea; Nanobdellati; Candidatus Iainarchaeota; Candidatus Iainarchaeia; Candidatus Iainarchaeales; Candidatus Iainarchaeaceae. The record is from RNAcentral. RNAcentral also lists the same sequence under 1 other name.